RNAcentral lists this ribosomal RNA (483 nucleotides) under uncultured bacterium. RNAcentral describes it as "partial 16S ribosomal RNA". It matches the Rfam family "Bacterial small subunit ribosomal RNA", at positions 28 to 507 of the family's 1533-position model. The record is from RNAcentral.
GACGAACGCUGGCGGCGUGCCUAACACAUGCAAGUCGAGCGGGGAUUUAAGUGGAAGUUCUUCGGAAUGGAGAUUUAAAUUCUAGCGGCGGACGGGUGAGUAACGCGUGAACAAUCUGUCCCGGACAGGGGGAUAACACUUGGAAACAGGUGCUAAUACCGCAUAAGACCACGGCCUCGCAUGGGGCUGAGGUAAAAGGAGCAAUCCGGUUCGGGGUGAGUUCGCGUCCGAUUAGCUAGUUGGUGAGGUAACGGCCCACCAAGGCGGCGAUCGGUAGCCGGCCUGAGAGGGUGAACGGCCACAUUGGAACUGAGAGACGGUCCAAACUCCUACGGGAGGCAGCAGUGGGGAAUAUUGGGCAAUGGGCGAAAGCCUGACCCAGCAACGCCGCGUGAGGGAAGAAGGUUUUCGGAUUGUAAACCUCUGUCCUAUGGGACGAAGGAAGUGACGGUACCAUAGGAGGAAGCCCCGGCUAACUACGUG